RNAcentral lists this ribosomal RNA (303 nucleotides) under uncultured bacterium. Its description in RNAcentral is "partial 16S ribosomal RNA". It matches the Rfam family "Bacterial small subunit ribosomal RNA", at positions 507 to 807 of the family's 1533-position model. The record is from RNAcentral.
AGCAGUAGCCACGGUAAUACAGAGGGUGCGAGCGUUAAUCGGAUUUACUGGGCGUAAAGCGUGCGUAGGCGGCUUCUUAAGUCGGAUGUGAAAUCCCUGAGCUUAACUUAGGAAUUGCAUUCGAUACUGGGAAGCUAGAGUAUGGGAGAGGAUGGUAGAAUUCCAGGUGUAGAGGUGAAAUGCGUAGAGAUCUGGAGGAAUACCGAUGGCGAAGGCAGCCAUCUGGCCUAAUACUGACGCUGAGGUACGAAAGCAUGGGGAGCAAACAGGAUUAGAUACCCGCGUAGUCCCUGUCUCUUAUAC